RNAcentral lists this ribosomal RNA (369 nucleotides) under uncultured phototrophic eukaryote. RNAcentral's name for it is "SSU rRNA". It matches the Rfam family "Bacterial small subunit ribosomal RNA", at positions 524 to 896 of the family's 1533-position model. The record is from RNAcentral.
UACGGGGGAUGCAAGCGUUAUCCGGAAUCAUUGGGCGUAAAGCGCCUGUAGGUUGUUUAAUAAGUCUGUUGUUAAAGACUAGGGCUCAACCCUAGAAAAGCAAUGGAAACUACUAGACUAGAGUAUGGCAGGGGUAGAGGGAAUUUCUAGUGUAGCGGUGAAAUGCGUAGAUAUUAGAAAGAACACCAGCGGCGAAAGCGCUCUACUGGACCAUUACUGACACUCAGAGGCGAAAGCUAGGGUAGCAAAAGGGAUUAGAUACCCCUGUAGUCCUAGCCGUAAACGAUGGAUACUAGAUGUUGCAUGUAAUGUGCAGUAUCCUAGCUAACGCGUUAAGUAUCCCGCCUGGGGAGUACGCUCGCAAGGGUG